Molecule: ribosomal RNA, 516 nt
Filed under: uncultured bacterium
Lineage: Bacteria
Description: partial 16S ribosomal RNA
Rfam family: Bacterial small subunit ribosomal RNA
Source: RNAcentral
GACGAACGCUGGCGGCGUGCCUAAUACAUGCAAGUCGAGCGGACUUUCAAGAAGCUUGCUUUUUGAAGGUUAGCGGCGGACGGGUGAGUAACGCGUGGGCAACCUGCCUGUAAGACGGGGAUAACUCCGGGAAACCGGGGCUAAUACCGGAUAAUAUCUUUCUUCGCAUGAAGGAAGGUUGAAAGGCGGCGCAAGCUGCCGCUUGCAGAUGGGCCCGCGGCGCAGUUAGCUAGUUGGUGAGGUAACGGCUCACCAAGGCGACGAUGCGUAGCCGACCUGAGAGGGUGAUCGGCCACACUGGGACUGGGACACGGCCCAGACUCCUACGGGAGGCAGCAGUAGGGAAUCUUCCGCAAUGGACGAAAGUCUGACGGAGCAACGCCGCGUGAGCGAAGAAGGUCUUCGGAUCGUAAAGCUCUGUUGUCAGGGAAGAACAAGUACCGUUCGAAUAGGGCGGUACCUUGACGGUACCUGACCAGAAAGCCACGGCUAACUACGUGCCAGCCGCCGCCGUAA